UGAUGUUGAAACUUAUUCACCAAUGUGCUAGUAUUAAGAAGUGUGGCCUUAAGGAGGUGAUUAAGUUACAAGGAAGGGGUCCUCACGAAUUGGAUUAGUGACCUUACAGGAGUGGUUUGCCCUUUCUAUCCUUCUCCCAUGUGAAGACACAACAAGAGGUGCCAUCUAUAAAGAAGACAGUGGCCUUCAGCAGACACCAGAUCUGCCUGCACCUUGACCUCAGACGUCCUGGUCUCUAGAACUGUAAAAACUAAAUUCUCAUUUUUUUUUUUUUUAACAAAUUAUGCACUUUUAGUCCUCCUACAGGAAAGGAGCUUGGUAAUCCACAGGAGAAAAAGAGGUUGAAGGAACUGCAGCACAAUUGAAUAGGAAGGCAUAGAACGGCAGCAUGCACAAACCAUGGGGGUGGGGUGGGGCGGCGCAUGGAGUUCACUGGAAGCAAGAGGCCAGUGUCAGGGGAAAGGAGCUUGGCCCUUUCAUGGCCAGCUUACGGAAGAGCAGCCAAACUUUCCCUUGGAUGUGAAGUCAGAACACUUUACCGUGGUUUAUUUGGUUUACCAAAUAAUGGCCAUUUGGGUGGAGCACUUGGUCAUUAUCAUUACCCCAGAUGUUUGUUUUCAGACAUCCCCAUAUCAGAGCCAUGCUUCUUGCCCCCUCCUGUGAUAGCUGGGAUCAAGGAUAAACCUUGACAACCAGUGGUUUAAACAACAGACAGUUUUCAUCUCCAUCAGUCAACAGUGCAUGCAAAGGCAAUUCAGGGCCAACAUGCCAGUUCUACAGUGCCUGGGAACAAGCACCUCCUCCCUCCCUUUAAAGGGACAGCCAGCAAUCCAAAACUCCAAACAGCACUUAUGAAAAGCUGCUCAAAAGAGCUCUUCCAAGUCCUUUUGAAUUAAUAAAGUCUAAGCCUCCUAGCACCCUAGCCCAGGUGAAAGAACACGGCUGCAAUAGGUAGAGUGCAUGCAAUAGACCAGAGUACAACAAGAAGCUCCAUCUUUUGGCCUCUGGGGUGAGGAAUGAAACUCCUCCCUGUUCUGGUUGUUUGCUCAGAGCUCUCUCUGGCAUGUCUGAUCAUGCCUGCUUGCCUGACUGAACUGUGGCAGGAUGGUGAUUAUUCAACAGGGCUAAAUGAGCUCAGCAUAAGUCACCUUGACUGGUUUAAUGUGCUUAGAUUUAUUAGGAGUUUCAUUAUUAUCAUAACGAAAAAAGCAAGCGGGCCAAAACUUCCAGGUCAAUUAUCAGCAUGAAUCUAGAAAUGAGAAGAGAUGUGUUUGGACACUUUGACUUUAACCAUCAAAUCCAAAGUCCCCUCCCUUCAGUGAUCCAGGCAUUGGAGCUAGGCAGACCACCUUCACCCAGGCCAGGGUCUCAGCUCAUUCUGCUCUCCUCAGCCCAUGCUCCAGGACCUGAAAACAAAGCUUUUGUGUUUAUUUAUUCUAAAAAGUCAGACUUAUCUUUGGACUUCACCCCUGACUUAUUCCUAUGCUGCAAUUCCUUACAGAUGUUUGACGCUGUACCCUGUGUUGGAAGACCUCUUCCUAGUCUCUGGUUUGGAUCUGCCCUUGUUUUUUUUAUUCCUCCGUCUUUGUGGCUUACUGUUGUAUUGCUGACAACACUAGAAAAUCUUGUUUUACUCUCUUAACCAAUAUAUCUUUUCACAGAAAUGUAGUUACAAAACACCAAGGAAAGUCCUGAAGGAGUUUUUUUUUUUUAAGCUGAAAAGGCAAUUUCCAAGGAUAGCCCUGCCUUUAUUUAAGCUUUUACAAAAGUCUUUCCUGCUUAUGAAAUAUGCUGCUUUUAGUAAACUGGAAGAUAUGGAGGCGAAUCAAGAAGAAAAUAAACCUUGCCCAGAAUUCUACCACUCAGAGAAACCAGUCGCACCAGUUUCAGAACCUUCUUCAUUUCUCUGAGAAAGCCUGGACGCAGGUGCAGGCCUCAGCAGUGAUGUGUCCGGCUCAAAGAAGUUUCACCUGACCCGCAGGUGCAAAGACCCACUCUCCUCUUUUGAGUCCCAGGAGUAUCCUUUAAAUCACGCUGGGAACACUUGUAGUAAGGCACAUGUUUACUCAGCUGUCUGUUCCCCCUUCCAGAAUGAGAGGAGCUUCCCGAGGCAGUGACUGUGCCUCAUCCACCUUCGAAAACCAGGGCUCAGCACCAGAAUCAGAAAAACUUUUAGGCUAAGUACCUCAUUUUACUACAGCCUCUAAAAACGAAAGACCACAAGAAAGGAACCUUCCAGAUGAUGAAUACUGAAGAGGAAGAAGAAAAAGCAGCUGGUGUUACCAUAAGAGAUUAUAUCCCCAGAGGCUGUAAGAGAAGACAACAAACAAAAAACAAAAUAAAAGGAAGAAAUUUGAGUGUGAA
Non-coding RNA from Chlorocebus sabaeus (green monkey), 2364 nucleotides. The record is from RefSeq and is a predicted model, not a curated record. NCBI's taxonomy places the organism in Eukaryota, Metazoa, Chordata, Mammalia, Primates, Cercopithecidae.